This 70-nucleotide microRNA precursor is filed under the name Nannospalax galili (Upper Galilee mountains blind mole rat). Its description in RNAcentral is "miRNA (ENSNGAG00000007063.1)". Lineage: Eukaryota; Metazoa; Chordata; Mammalia; Rodentia; Spalacidae. The record is from RNAcentral.
CCUGGAGUGCGCGGGCGAGGCGGGCGGAGCGCACCGGGCUCUGGGGCCGCACCGGCUCGCAGCGCCGGGC